GAUCAUGGCUCAGGACGAACGCUGGCGGCGUGCCUAACACAUGCAAGUCGAACGGAGUGUUGCGCUGAAUAUGAGAUUAGCUUGCUAAAGGAAUAUUCUUGUAACACUUAGUGGCGGACUGGUGAGUAACGCGUGAGCAACCUGCCUUACAGAGGGGGACAACAUUGGGAAACCGAUGCUAAUACCGCAUGACAUAUUCGAAAGGCAUCUUUUGAAUAUCAAAGGAGCAA
RNAcentral lists this ribosomal RNA (230 nucleotides) under uncultured bacterium. RNAcentral's name for it is "partial 16S ribosomal RNA". It matches the Rfam family "Bacterial small subunit ribosomal RNA", at positions 15 to 212 of the family's 1533-position model. The record is from RNAcentral.